Molecule: long non-coding RNA, 1519 nt
Organism: Homarus americanus (American lobster)
Lineage: Eukaryota; Metazoa; Arthropoda; Malacostraca; Decapoda; Nephropidae
Exons: 2
Source: RefSeq, a predicted model, not a curated record
GGAGGGGGGGGGGGGGGCAUUUCACAUCUAACGAACACUCGAGAUAACGAACAUUCCUCUCCAAAUAGUCCGCUAAAUAUAGGUUUCACAGUAUGUCCCCUUAUUUGUCCUCUACUAUGAAUCUUCCAGUCUUCCGUAGCCGCAUCAAUGUCUUCCUUUAAUCUUACGCUCUUACGGCUAGGUAGAGGUGACGUCCGCAUAUUUUCUACUAACUUAAAAGGUCUCAAAGUUGCCCCUUGUAGUACUCCCUUCAGUCUUAAACUAUAGGACCCGUCACUAGUGUUCCUUCUGUUCACGGGAUUGAUUAAAGAUACGGAGCCAGAUGAUGUCAGGUGAUGUCAGGUGUUCCCAGGUGAUGUCAGGUGUUUCCAGGUGAUGUCAGGUGUUUCCAGGUGAUGUCAGGUGUUCCCAAGUGAUGUCAGGUGUUCCCAAGUGAUGUCAGGUGUUUCCAGGUGAUGUCAGGUGUUUCCAGGUGAUGCCAGGUGUAAUGAUUGUGUUUAUUUUGUAUCAUUAUGUCAUUGAUGUAACUGUUACUUUCUUAUUGUUAUAAAUGAAAUUAUUUUGUUAGAUAUAUGAUAGUGAAAUCUUUAUAUACCGGACUUCUCUCGCUCCAUAUAAUCCGUUAGAUGGAGGUUUCACAUCUAAUGGACCUUCAAAAUAACGGAAUUUUCAGCUCCAUAGAGUCCGUUAAAUAGAGAUUUUACUGUACUAAUUUUUCCUUCAAUACUAAUGCUACUUUUUUUUAUAUGAUUAUAGUAUAUUAAGUUGUAUAAUUUUUUGUCAACUUUGAUUAUAUGUCAAAAACUCGCUAAUUAGUUUAUCCUUACAGGUAUAAUUACAAAAGGUGUAACAGGGUACCGUGUCUUUAACCAUGCCCCUAUAAUGAUGACUCAGUUGUUAAGAGGUGUAAACUUCUGAGCUGAGGUGUAUUGUCCGUCAUCCACCCCCCCCCCCCCUACUUGUCAAUAAUUACCCUUAAGCUACUCAAUAUUGAUCAUUUUAUUUGGGCAAUAUUGAUUAAUUUAUGGUUUAAUCUUGACUACUUGAUUGGUCCCUUUUAACUGGUCAUUAUUCUCAAAUUUUCGUGGUUAAUAUUCAUCAGUUUUAUGGUUUUAUAUUGACCAAUUUUGAUUGGUUAAUAUUCCUGAUGUUAUUGUUUAGUAUUGACCAGAAGUGAUGGUUUAUAUUGGGGUCAUUAAUGGUCAAUAUUUGGCUAAUUAAUGGUCAAUAUUUAUCAUUUUAUAGGUUAAUAUUUGCAAACGUCACCGCUUAGUAUUGGGCUUCAUUAGUGGUCAAUAUAUACGACUUUACUAUAUGAUAAACAGCCAUAUAGGUAGUCAAUAUUCUACAGUUUAUUUGAUCAAUAUUCUUAACCCUUCUACUGAUCAAUACUUACCACAUAAAUAUUGUUCAAUAUUCGUCACAUUACUGAUCAAUAGUCCCAACUUUACUGAUAAAUAUUUCCUAACUUUACUGAUCAUUAUUCCCCACUUUACUGUAAAUGAAGUUUCUGACUGAC